GAGAGGACUCGGCUAUGUCGGAUUUUCAGAAAGAAUAAAUUUUAACCAGUUUUCUAAAAAUCAAAGUUAUAUUUUUAGUGUUGCUUUUCGAGUGUAUGGAUUUCAGAAUGAAAACUGAAAAAGAGAAGCUAUAUCUUCAAAGCAAAAUUCAACCCAUAUAUUGUAUCUGUUAGCAAAUAUGUAUGGGAAACAUGAAUCUAGGUGGCUCAUUAUUAUUUUGAUAAUAGUGUGUUUUUUUAAUGUGUCUGUACAUUAAAAAUAGCAUCUUAAAACUAAAGUAGAAAUGUUACCCUUAUCUACCCAUGACAUAUUCAAGUUCAAAACAAUAUUUUGAAUUAUAAAAAUUCAGAUAAUGAUGUUUAAUGCAUUGGGAAGAGUAUUCCAUUCUUUAAUACUACAUAUAAUAUUUCUUUAAAACGGCUAAUAUUAGAUCUUUAUGUUCAACUUUUUGAGCAUUAGGAUUUUGAGAAUGAAGAGCUGUAUAUGUGAAAUCCACUUAUGUAAAAGUUCUCUUUUAAAGAAGAAAAUACAUGAUUGCUGAUAAAAUCAUUACUAUUUACUUUUGAGUUUUAGUUGCACUUAGAAAAUAUCUGCCCAUUAUCAUCAGUGUAUAUAUUUUUUUUUUGCAAGUAAUUUACUUUCCCCAAAAUGUGGUUACAGUUGUUUUUCUGG
Molecule: long non-coding RNA, 672 nt
Filed under: Bos taurus (domestic cattle)
Lineage: Eukaryota; Metazoa; Chordata; Mammalia; Artiodactyla; Bovidae
Description: long non-coding RNA NONBTAT018391
Source: RNAcentral